This is a long non-coding RNA of Daphnia magna, 1327 nucleotides long. RefSeq lists it as uncharacterized. NCBI's taxonomy places the organism in Eukaryota, Metazoa, Arthropoda, Branchiopoda, Diplostraca, Daphniidae. The record is from RefSeq and is a predicted model, not a curated record. The transcript is spliced from 2 exons.
CACAUUAGUCACGGUUGAGCGCCGUCGGGAACUUCCCCCUAGGCCCUGCCCGUGCUCCUUUUUGGUCCGUAGACCGAGGCGGAAGUUAGUUCCUCAAAUUAAAUCACAUCAAUUAAAAUACCAUGGCCGCUAUGGCCUGUUGUUAAGUCCGUUGGAGUGAUAUCUACAUGCUCGACGCGAUACUAUCACGACGGGCCACACGUACAAUCCGUCUGCUCGUUGAGCGGCUCAUACCAUCCCUUGACUUAACUGGUAUACUUACCUUUGGUAAAAGGCCGAUUGAGUCCAGACGAUACGUGUGUGCACUGGGAUCAGUGUUUAACCUAUUAGCAUUGACCUAAAGACGAUUCCCUAGGCCGAUGUCGCAUGUAGCCUACACUCAUGUCCUUGUUGGUCCACCUAUAUCACCACGAGUCAAAAGGCAGGCCUAAAAAUGCUCAAAAGAAUUAGGGCCGUUUAGGCCUUCGUUGGGGAGUGAUAGACGCACAUGCUCGUCCUGAUAUUAUCAAGACCGGCCACCGUAGCGCCAUACCCAUUGAACGACCGUUACCAUUGACUUACCAAUUGCUUAUUUUUGGGGGUAACAGCCGGUUGGUGUAUGAACGAUACUAGUGUGCACUGGGACAGUGUUUAACCUUUCUACUUUUUUAUUACCAUGUAGACUUCGGUAAUAUCGCAUGCACGUUAUCAUUCCCAUCAUCCUCCUGCAAAAUAAACAUUUCGGAUUAAUACCGUAACCGAAAGCCUAAUACCGUUUACAGAGUUUGGGAAUCCCCGUCAAACUCAUCUCCGACCGUAGCGACUCGCAGUUUGUCAUAGGAGCGGACCAGGCUCGUGGCUACCAUAAUGUUUGGGAGCUUCUGGCGUCUGCCACCAGGGGGAUAUCGAACGUAGGUAGUCUUUUUUCACACAACACAACACAGAACACCAUUCAACACUCACCUGGUGGCGACGUCAGCAGUUACCCAACGUUAUUGGAGACUUGGAGUCACGCUCUCAAGCACGCCACGUCAUAUAGGGCUGUUCGACAUCUUUUUUAAGAUUUGUUGAAAUCGUGAAACGCAGCAACUCAUGUAUUUUUUCGUCUGCUACGAGUGACUUGUGUAGUUCUGCGAAAUAUUAAUUUUUUUAAAAAACAGUGAUAGAAAAGGGGGUUAAGACCUCUUAUGAACUCAGAUACUUCAAUAUCAACAAUGAGGAAAAGGAUGAUGAUGAUGACAAGGAAUAAGUUCGUCUCCCCGUUGUUUCGUUUUUGCUGUAAAGUAAUAAACGAUGACCAUUAUAUUUGUACAAUUGUUACUGCAUUAAACUUGACACCAUUCCUUGA